CCUCCCACGGGGGGCAGCAGUGAGGAAUAUUGGUCAAUGGCCGGAAGGCUGAACCAGCCAAGCCGCGUGAAGGAUGACGGUCCUAUGGAUUGUAAACCUCUUUUGUCAGGGAGCAAAGGGCGCCACGUGUGGCGUUUUGCGAGUACCUGAAGAAAAAGCAUCGGCUAACUCCGUGCCAGCAGCCGCGGUAAUACGGAGGAUGCGAGCGUUAUCCGGAUUUAUUGGGUUUAAAGGGUGCGCAGGCGGAUUUUUAAGUCAGCGGUUAAAUCGUGGGGCUCAACCCCAUCCAGCCGUUGAA
RNAcentral lists this ribosomal RNA (298 nucleotides) under uncultured bacterium. RNAcentral's name for it is "partial 16S ribosomal RNA". It matches the Rfam family "Bacterial small subunit ribosomal RNA", at positions 335 to 631 of the family's 1533-position model. The record is from RNAcentral.